This 1369-nucleotide ribosomal RNA is filed under the name uncultured bacterium. Its description in RNAcentral is "bacterial SSU rRNA". It matches the Rfam family "Bacterial small subunit ribosomal RNA", at positions 28 to 1381 of the family's 1533-position model. The record is from RNAcentral.
GACGAACGCUGGCGGCGUGCCUAAUACAUGCAAGUAGAACGCUGAAGAGAGGAGCUUGCUCUUCUUGGAUGAGUUGCGAACGGGUGAGUAACGCGUAGGUAACCUGCCUUGUAGCGGGGGAUAACUAUUGGAAACGAUAGCUAAUACCGCAUAACAAUGGAUGACACAUGUCAUUUAUUUGAAAGGGGCAAUUGCUCCACUACAAGAUGGACCUGCGUUGUAUUAGCUAGUAGGUGAGGUAACGGCUCACCUAGGCGACGAUACAUAGCCGACCUGAGAGGGUGAUCGGCCACACUGGGACUGAGACACGGCCCAGACUCCUACGGGAGGCAGCAGUAGGGAAUCUUCGGCAAUGGGGGCAACCCUGACCGAGCAACGCCGCGUGAGUGAAGAAGGUUUUCGGAUCGUAAAGCUCUGUUGUAAGUCAAGAACGAGUGUGAGAGUGGAAAGUUCACACUGUGACGGUAGCUUACCAGAAAGGGACGGCUAACUACGUGCCAGCAGCCGCGGUAAUACGUAGGUCCCGAGCGUUGUCCGGAUUUAUUGGGCGUAAAGCGAGCGCAGGCGGUUUGAUAAGUCUGAAGUUAAAGGCUGUGGCUCAACCAUAGUUCGCUUUGGAAACUGUCAAACUUGAGUGCAGAAGGGGAGAGUGGAAUUCCAUGUGUAGCGGUGAAAUGCGUAGAUAUAUGGAGGAACACCGGUGGCGAAAGCGGCUCUCUGGUCUGUAACUGACGCUGAGGCUCGAAAGCGUGGGGAGCGAACAGGAUUAGAUACCCUGGUAGUCCACGCCGUAAACGAUGAGUGCUAGGUGUUGGAUCCUUUCCGGGAUUCAGUGCCGCAGCUAACGCAUUAAGCACUCCGCCUGGGGAGUACGACCGCAAGGUUGAAACUCAAAGGAAUUGACGGGGGCCCGCACAAGCGGUGGAGUAUGUGGUUUAAUUCGAAGCAACGCGAAGAACCUUACCAGGUCUUGACAUCCCGAUGCUAUUUCUAGAGAUAGAAAGUUACUUCGGUACAUCGGUGACAGGUGGUGCAUGGUUGUCGUCAGCUCGUGUCGUGAGAUGUUGGGUUAAGUCCCGCAACGAGCGCAACCCCUAUUGUUAGUUGCCAUCAUUCAGUUGGGCACUCUAGCGAGACUGCCGGUAAUAAACCGGAGGAAGGUGGGGAUGACGUCAAAUCAUCAUGCCCCUUAUGACCUGGGCUACACACGUGCUACAAUGGUUGGUACAACGAGUUGCGAGUCGGUGACGGCAAGCUAAUCUCUUAAAGCCAAUCUCAGUUCGGAUUGUAGGCUGCAACUCGCCUACAUGAAGUCGGAAUCGCUAGUAAUCGCGGAUCAGCACGCCGCGGUGAAUACGUUCCCGGGCCU